This 253-nucleotide ribosomal RNA is filed under the name uncultured bacterium. Its description in RNAcentral is "partial 16S ribosomal RNA". It matches the Rfam family "Bacterial small subunit ribosomal RNA", at positions 524 to 776 of the family's 1533-position model. The record is from RNAcentral.
UACGGAGGAGGCAAGCGUUAUCCGGAAUUAUUGGGCGUAAAGCGUCCGCAGGUGGCCCUUCAAGUCUGCCGUCAAAGACCGGGGCUUAACCCCAGAAAGGCGGUGGAAACUGAAGCGCUAGAGUGCGGUAGGGGUAGAGGGAAUUCCCGGUGUAGCGGUGAAAUGCGUAGAGAUCGGGAAGAACAUCGGUGGCGAAAGCGCUCUACUGGACCGCAACUGACACUGAGGGACGAAAGCUAGGGGAGCGAAUGGG